Molecule: long non-coding RNA, 570 nt
Organism: Bombus impatiens (common eastern bumble bee)
Lineage: Eukaryota; Metazoa; Arthropoda; Insecta; Hymenoptera; Apidae
Exons: 2
Source: RefSeq, a predicted model, not a curated record
UUGAUCUUGAGUUUAUUUUUUCCUUUGUUUUACCAGAGAAAAAAUGAAAGUGCUGACGCCCACGAUCAUAUAAAUAGGUCUCGACACUUGCUAGGGAAAACCGUAUGAAAAUUGAGUCGUGUUAUAAUCGUGAAAAAUCAUCAUGAAAGAUUAAUAAAGUACACGAUUUUACGAAGGUGAAGGAAAUGAAAAGAGUGUCCCUAUCUCUGUUUGUGGUAUUCAUUGCGUGUCAAAGGUGCGCAGGACGAGAACUUCCAUGUUCUUCCAUGUUGGUUUUUCACAAGUGCUACACCAAGCGGUCACAUGCUGGAAGAUGUUCUACGCUAGCAUAUACAAGAACCUAUUUACAUAGAUUCACCACAAACGAGAUAUAAUCGCCUAUGUGUCCACUCUACAGAAUCUAUUUCAUUGUACGAUUCUACGGAAAAGUUUAUACUUUUUUAUCCGAUAAAAACACUUAUUAGAAUAACAAAAUCGCACAAUAAUUACACUAAGUUACCUCAAAAUGAGAAGUUAAUGGUUUAUUAAAUUUAUUUUAGAAAAAUUAAUAAGUAUAUUUUUAUAUCUUUA